Molecule: ribosomal RNA, 235 nt
Filed under: uncultured bacterium
Lineage: Bacteria
Description: partial 16S ribosomal RNA
Rfam family: Bacterial small subunit ribosomal RNA
Source: RNAcentral
UGGCGGACGGGUGAGUAAUGUCUGGGAAACUGCCCGAUGGAGGGGGAUAACUACUGGAAACGGUAGCUAAUACCGCAUAACGUCGCAAGACCAAAGCGGGGGACCUCCGGGCCUCGCGCCAUCAGAUGAACCCAUAUGGGAUUAGCUAGUAGGUAAGGUAACGGCUUACCUAGGCGACGAUCCCUAGCUGGUCUGAGAGGAUGACCAGCCACACUGGAACUGAGACACGGUCCAG